RNAcentral lists this ribosomal RNA (249 nucleotides) under uncultured bacterium. Its description in RNAcentral is "partial 16S ribosomal RNA". It matches the Rfam family "Bacterial small subunit ribosomal RNA", at positions 524 to 772 of the family's 1533-position model. The record is from RNAcentral.
UACGGAGGGGGCUAGCGUUGUUCGGAAUUACUGGGCGUAAAGCGCGCGUAGGCGGACCUGCAAGUCGGGGGUGAAAGCCCGAGGCUCAACCUCGGAACUGCCUUCGAUACUGCGGGUCUCGAGUCCGGGAGAGGUGAGUGGAAUUCCUAGUGUAGAGGUGAAAUUCGUAGAUAUUAGGAAGAACACCGAUGGCGAAGGCAGCUCGCUGGGACGGUACUGACGCUGAGACGCGAAAGCGUGGGGAGCGAA